Molecule: ribosomal RNA, 253 nt
Filed under: uncultured bacterium
Lineage: Bacteria
Description: partial 16S ribosomal RNA
Rfam family: Bacterial small subunit ribosomal RNA
Source: RNAcentral
GACGUAGGGCGCGAGCGUUGUCCGGAUUUAUUGGGCGUAAAGAGCUCGUAGGCGGUUUGUCGCGUCUGCUGUGAAAACCUAAGGCUCAACCUUGGGCUUGCAGUGGGUACGGGCAGACUAGAGUGCGGUAGGGGUGACUGGAAUUCCUGGUGUAGCGGUGGAAUGCGCAGAUAUCAGGAGGAACACCGAUGGCGAAGGCAGGUCACUGGGCCGCAACUGACGCUGAGGAGCGAAAGCCAGGGGAGCAAACGGG